AAAUUCAAGAUCCUGACACAGGGAAGACAUGUCUUCUAAAGUCCAUGUGGAAUUUAAAGAAUGGGGUAAAUGAUACCAUCCCGGUCUUGCUGGAAGCUGCUGAAAAGACAAAUAAUCUGAAAGAUUUGGUCAACGCACCAUACACCAAUGCUUACUAUCACGGUAAGGGAAUAAAAUCUUCUCCAGGUGCUGAGCUAACAAUAUCUAGCUUGUGAUAGAAUUACUUAGGAGGUUUAUAUAGUAUGUUCGUUCAGACUCUUUUUUUAGUAAUAGAACAGACGCUUUUAUUUACACAUAUGGUUCCCUAAUCAAGAAAGAAUACUAAGACCUCACAUAUCCCAUAAAUGGGGAUUAUACCACUGUACGUUAUCAACACUAGAGCUAAGUCCAUAGCUCUUGAAAACGUGAGUAGGACCAUAUACUCUUUUAUUGCUUCUACCCCUUUCGGGACAUACUAUACCAUCAGUUGUUAUUUUCUCAUUUCAUAUGAUGUACAAAGACGCAUCUACACCACUCUGAAGAAUCCCCCACUACAAAAGACUGUAUUCACCUCUACAAAGAUAUACCUCGUUGUUUGAUUCAUCUACCAGUCAGACUAUUUAUUCUGGACUUCUAUUUGCUUAUUAUUUAUUUUAUAUAUUACAUUCUAGUCUGCCUAUUCUGUGCUCUUUUAAUUUAUGUGGUUUGUAGUGGCGCUGCCUUCCUUUCUUUUUUCUGUAUCUUUUUUUAGUAAUACCUCUUAAUUCUUAAGAUACAUUAACUAUGAAAUAAUCUCAAAUGCACAAAAAUACCACAGUGGAAAAAUAUCUUCUGGUUACCAACUCACCACAACGUAUUAUUUAGUGCCAGGAAACUGAACAGUGCAUAGCAAUGAGUUGAACACAUAUAAUUUGGAAGAACAGUGUUUUUGAUGAGGCAAUUUGUUUUCCAAAGUACUGGCAAACCAAUGCUGGAAGACCAGGGCCUUAUUGACAUGAGAUCAGUGGUGUAUCCUCGUUUUGUGCUGCCCUAGGCAUAUUCCGGCUCCCGGCAUCACUCUGCGGCCCGCGAGGGAGCUGAGCAGAGAGCUCACUAAUCAAUGCUCCUUGCCAGCGCCGCCCGACUGGAUUUUUACUUAGCCGCCUGCCUGCCUGGACUGUUAGCCGCCAGGCUAACAAGACAUUUGCCUGGGCAUUUGGGGGUGGUGUUUUUUGCCGCCCACUGGAAAGUGCUGCCCAAGGCAAAUGCCUUGUUUGCCUCGUGGCUAAUACGUCCCUGAUCACAGGUACCCCUAAGUAGAAAGAAUACAGGUUUGCUUGCCCCCCACAAAGUAACAAACUAAGAUGUUAAAAUAUUUUGUGAGCAGUGUGAGGAAGAAAAGUGUGAUAUGAGACAGGGUCCAAAGUGGAAGAAGUUCAAGAGAUAUUUGUAGAACGUAUCAGAAUUGAAAGAGAGUUUACGGGAUAGUGGGCACAGCUUAUGCUAAAUCCCAAACCCUGCCCUUUGUCUCUAGUGGUGCUCUCUUCUUAUGGUACAUUUUAGAACUGUGGAAGACAGUGAAUUGUGAUCCCUUCAUGACAAGAUGUUGAGCAAAUCCCAUUAUAUAAGAGCAUGAAGGGGUUACAAUAUUCUGUGUAUAUCUAAUAUCCUACUAUCAGUGGCCUAUGAGCAGUUCAAGCUGUCUAUUAGUAUUGAAUAAUGCAUGUGCGUGACAUAUCUAUGAUGAAGUGAUAGCCAGGUAUGAGGGAAUUAUUUAGACAGAUAAGUGGGAAGGGAAGUAAAUUUUUGGAAAACCUUAAGGAAUAGUAAAUUUCUGGAGGAGAGAAAUGGACAUGAAAGCUUAUUGAUAGAAUGAUAAAAAGAAGAAAAAAUAUGGUCAGUGGUUUAGGUGGUACGUACUAGGAUAAUGAGUUAAAAAUAAUCGCAAAUGCAGUUUCAAAGUAUAUAUUAAAUAAGAGCUAUUGUUUAUUAUUUACCUAUAGUGUAUGAUAAAAUGAAUAGCAACCACAAUUAUUUUUGUCACUGACUUCAUCUUUUUGGCAAAAAAAAUCCCCUGACGUUGAUGUGGGAAAAAAAUAACACAAUGAUCUAAACUUAGUGUAUGAAUAAAACAUAACUUGUGUUUUUCACUCCUGUCUCAACCUCGCUAUUCACACAUUUUCAUUUUGAGCAAGUAGUACAUUUACAGAUUGGGAAUGCAUGUUAAUCAAAGCAAAUGCUGACUUUUACCAUGAGUUUCACAUACCUUAGCAUUUAACUCAUACUGAAUUCACUGUUGGUAAUUACAGCAAAGACAUGUUCUAUUUGUAAAUGCAAAUGAUGUUCCCUUGCAAAGCAUAUGCAAUUCACAGUGAAUUGAGUGAAGGAAUAUUAACCCCUUGUAUCUUUUCUCCAGAAAGUUACAGAAGAUACAAAAGAAAAGAAAACAGUGUGUACUAUGUAGUAUGAUUGCCCAUGUAACAGAUAUACUCCAAAAUGUCAUAAACCCCCAAACAACUAUCCCGAACCUUAAUACACACCGUUCGCCCCAGAUUGCCAAAUCCCCCCAUCCUAAUGUCACUUUGCCCCAUAUGUGCUGUAUUGUUUUGCAUAUAUUGCUGUAUAUGUAGUUACAAUGCCCCAUGUAUUGCCCAUAGAUAUUGUCUUAUCUGUACUCCCAUUGUUUCCAGUUUAGUUUGUGUCACAUAUAAUUAUGUCCCACAUUUGGUCACAUUACCAUGACAUUGUACAUGCAAUACUUAAGAUUUCUUACACGUGACAAUUUGGUCACACUCACUAACUUACUAUCACACCACAGACACACUCCCACACCUCUUCCAAAUGUAUGAAGCUGAGCACCGAGGCUAUAUCAAAGCACUAGUCUGUCUUUUCGCAUUGCAUUGUACUGGAGAUACUACUUACACAAGCAGUGUCCCAAGCAGGAUUAUCAGCAUCUCUUUGAACACAAAGCACAGGCAGAUCAUCUCUUUAACCCCUUCAGAACACAACUUCUGGAAUAAAAGGGAUUCAUGACGGAAUAUUUCCGUCAUGUGUCCUUGAGUGGUUAAACACAGACAGAUCUUCUCUCUGCAUUACAUACUCUUACUUACCGUAAAGUGCUGUACACUGGACUUGGAAUGAUGUUUGCAGCACUGUGCUCAUGGUGUCACUGUGUUGCAAGCUGCCUAGACAUAGUAAGGGCAUAUUACACAAACAACAUUUGUUUUCAGAGAUCAAAGUUAAUUUGUCAAUUUUCCUUUUAUACGUUUUCACGAUUCUGGGCUGUAGAAGCAUACCCUUUAAUGGGUAGAUAUAUGUAUGAAUUUAUAAAAAUUUUUGUUAAGGUGCUGCAAAAUAUCUUAUUUCAAGAAAAAGUCUGUGUUUAUUUAAUGAAAACUAUGAUCAAGUUUCCUUUCCUUGCUGUUAUUGUAGUUCCAAACUGUGUUAAACAGUUAACUAUAGAUUGUAUGAAAAGUGUUUGGAUCUGACAGGCAUCAACAAAAUCUUAAAUUUGUCUUCCAUAUAACAGUUAAAGAUGGAACCACUGUUGUUAAGCAUGUUGCCUGUAUAAAAUAAGCAUAUUUUUGUAAAAAUUGGAGUGAACACACACAAUGGUAGUGUCAUGACAUAUACCCACCUCUUAUUUAGUAUAGCGGUUUUCAAUUUUUAUUUUGGGCUAGAGCCCCAGGUGUUUCUGGAAUUUAGAAGUUUUGAUUGGGAUGUAUUGACUAAAAAGUGAAUUUCAUAGAAUUAUUAACCCAAAUUAAGGGGGCGGGGCCAGACCGCCAAGCUGGAUGGUCACAUGGAAGCUCAGCUCCUGCAAAUUACCGACUAAUAAGCCUUAAAACAAUGAUUUGCAACCUUAAUACCAACCACCAGCGCCGGUCCUCAGUGCAUAAGGGACACUGUAUCCAGGGUGAGGCUGGCUCCUCGAGCUACAGUCCCCAGGAGGAGAGAUCCUCGAUGCCCCAAUUGGGGCCUACUCCGGCGGUGAGUGGGGCGGACGGCCGCUGCUCCACUAUCCUGCCUAACAUAGCCCAGCCAGAGGCCAGAAGCCUUGCAGACCUGGCCCUGUUCCCCUCACUCUGGACCGGUGGAUGUGAUCCCAGUCCGAAACCUGUGACCCAGGCCGAGACGGCGCAACCUAAGCACAGCAACAUCGCCACUCAGACACGCGGCCCGAGCGCCUCAACUGCGGCUGCCAGAAGUGCCGAUGCCAGAGGGAUGACAUGCUUUCUCCCCAAGCCCACAGUGAGCAAUAAGGCCUCCAGAAACAGGCUGGCUCAACACCUACCAUGGCAAGCUACAGGCACACACCAUAACACCCAAGAAAGGCGCCUACACCAGGAGAGGCUAUGCUGGACCAUAGCUCCAGAACAGGGGCAAGCCCGAGGCAAACAAACGGAUCGGAGACACAGCAGGCCAAAUAGCGCAAAACGGCACAGGAUACCGAAACUCGACAAGCACCAACUUACCCUCUAGAUAUGUCGGGGAGCAGGUCUUCCAAGCAAGGUGCCACAUUCCACUACAGGACUGCCGUACAACAACUCACAGCCAUCCCUGACAAGACCGCGACGCAAACUGACUGCCGGCCUACACCUGGACCGCAAUAUACUCACAGAGGGCAUCGACAACGCAGAGACUCGAGAGGUCUAUACACAACAAUAUUAAUCUGUCCUCUUACCGGCAUUGCGUCUCAAAGCAACAGUCUCUCCACCAAAGCUGUUAUGCAGAAUGGGCUGACAGCCUCCACAGGGCUCCACAUAGAUGGACACGCUAAAGCUCCACCAUUCCCUGUCUGAUCCGGCACCUCUACCUAUACCGAAGCAACCAACGGAACAUGACCAUAACUAUGCAUAACAGUGGCAAAGCAUAAAAAUAUUGUCUAGCAUAUGCGUGACUGCCAACAUAUAAGAGGUGUUUAGCAUUUAAACCAGUUUAACAGGCUAACUGUCAGGAAUAUGGGGAUCUGCAUUUAAUAAUCUACUAAUGAUAUAUUUUCACCCUGGGCAGUAAAGUGCUUGGCUAGUUUGUCUGGGUCCGGGGCUACACUUUUCACUAAAUGUUUAACUACUGAAAUACUACACAUAACAAAACACAAUAUUGAGGCAUAGGCUCUUUCCUAUACUUAAUUAGUUAAUUACUGUUUGCUAGCCUAGUACAACUAACGUUGUCAGAAUCUCAAUUUAUAAAAUGUGCACGUAUUAUUCAUUACCCUAUUGUAACACAUGAUAUAAACCCGGAGGAAUGCCGUUGGGGUACCUCAGGCAUGUCUGUACUAACCUUUGCACGUCAAAAAAAAAAAAAAAAAAGUUUGUUAUUUUGGGCUAGAUCAUGCAUUCUUUAUGUGAAUUUAUCACAAUUCACUGUUAAGUGAAUUAUUCCCUUCCUAUGCCAUGGCCCUAACUUCAUGUCUUGUCAGUCCCUCUCAAACAAAUUGCACUCUUGUUAGCUAUGUGAAAUUUUAAGGUAUACUUUAGUUACAAUACUAUCUUGAUUUCGAUAAACAUUAUGUCAUUGAUACAAUAAAGAUGUCUCUAUCAGAGUCUUUAGAGCUCCCUGAGUGCUGUGUUAUGAACAAGCCCGGAUGUUCCAUGGGAAAUAGAACUAGUUACUAGCAGUAAUUAAGGGGGCCAUUAGACAAGUCUGCUGAAACAUCAGAGGCAAAAAGGCAAGGGAUGGAGUUUGUUGAAUCCAGUAUUCCGUUUGCCUAAGAUUAUGAAUGCAUUCAGCCUAAUGUCUAAUAGAUUUUUUUUCUAAUAUGUCUCUAAGCUGUGCCUAGGGAGAUAUCCUGGGAAAAGCCAACGCUGUCAUUAAAGUAAAUAUUAAUUAUUUAGAAAAGCAAGUGGGCAAAUAAUGUUAUUGUUUUUGGGUGAUACAGACUUGGCUUUUGGUGCAUUGUCUGAUGGAUGAGUAUAUAAACAGCAUCUGCUGUUCACAAAAGAAAAACACAAUUUUAAAGCAGAACAAUGUCAGAAUUGCUUAGAGGACUAUUCCCUAAACAGUGAAUUAAAGUGAUAUAUUGUAUAAGUAAAAAAAAAAAAAAAAAAUGAAAGAAAAUUCUCCUACUCAACUAUUUCCUAGAUUUUUUGGAACAUGAAGUCAUUACCCAAAUUUUCUUUUUUUUAGUUGCUGCCAUCUUCAAGUUUUUCUAAUAUUUAUAUUUAUGUGGUUUACUGCAGGACAGAGCGCUCUUCAUAUAGCCAUAGAAAAAAGAAAUUUCCAGUUAGUUGAACUUCUACUGAAAAACCAAGCUGAUGUUCAUGCCAAAGCAGAUGGAGAGUUUUUCCAGAAGAAAAAGAAGGGUGUUAGCUUUUAUUUUGGUGAGUAUCUUAAUGAAAAGAAAUAUUUUGCCAUACUUGAAACUGAACCUAUUAAUGCGGGGGAGGGAAGUGCUUAUGGUGCUGACAUGAUAAUUGUUAUCCUUGUUUUUUUUUAACAUAUAUGUGACUGAAAAAUUCACUUAAUCUUGUAUAAUGUGACAUUAUUCAUGUCACAUGGCACCCAUUCUACCACUGUAUUAAAGGGACACUGUAGGCACUAUAAUCAUGUCCUCUCUUUGAAUUGAUUAUAGUGCCUGGCGUCGCCUGGUACUGUCUCUCCAUUCAGAGUUAAACCAUGUUCUAGCAGUUUAACACUAACUAAGGGUCCCUGGCACCCACAGUCUGGCCCCUUCUGGAGGUGUGGCUCAGGCAGAGAUUACACAUUCCUUGUAGUUAUAUCCAUUCAUACUGUUAAUGGGAGGUUUGAUAGGAUAAAAGCAGUCAGCUGACUGACACUCUCAGCCUAUCACAGCUGCCAACUGCUGCUCAGGCUAAUACCUCUUUAUUUGCCUAAGCAGCACAGAAGGGAUGGGAUUCAGGGGACUCUCGUUUAGUAUUAGAACAUAAAAACAUUAAAAACUGUUUAAUGCUGAAUGAAAUGAUGGCAACAGGGGACUCCAGACACUAUAACCAGAUUAAUUAUAUUAAGCAGAUACAGUGCCUAUAGUGUCCUUUUAUUAACUUGCUGGUUUCAGCUAUUUCCCUCUAGUGGCGCAAAACUAGUGCAGAUGUAAGUUAUUAUUAUUGAUGUUAUAGCUACUUUCAAAUUCUUUUUGAAAAAAAAGGGUAACAUUCAAUUGAAACACAAAUAGCUGGCAUGUAAACUUAGAAGAACAUUAUAAUUUUGUAUAUAGAACAAUACUUAUACAAGGAAUACCUAUAUGUUUAAAUUAUGUACGUAUAGACAAAUUAAAUUUUUGAAUAUGAUUGGUUAAAUGAUAUGCGUUAGCAUGCAAUGCAUAAGAAAAUGGAGAUGUAAGCAUAUAUGGACAAAUAAAUUUUGUCAAAUACAGGAGGUGUGACAGCAAUAAUAUGUAUAAAUGAAAAGGGUUUCAGAAAAUCCUUACAGUAUGAUGACAUAGGCCGUGAUAUGGUCAUUAAAGAUUUAAACUAGAACCCAGUAUGCAGAGAAUAAAAAAACAACGCAAUGGGGUAAAAUUAAACAAAUGUAUUAAGAUUUCUAGAACAAUGUUAAUAACACAAACGAUUAGCAAAUUAUCAGAAGAAUAUAAUGAUGCAGACAAACCACAGGAUACAAGGGAGAAAAGCUCUGAAAUCAGGUAGAAGGCCUUCAUAAGACAGGAUACAGGGCAGGCCGCUGGAGUCAGGUGUCAGGCUUUCACUAGACAGGAUACAGGGCAGGCCAGUGGAGUCAGAUAAUAGUCCUUCACGAGAAAGGAUAAAAGGCAGAUCUCUGGAGUCAGGUAGCAGGCCUUCAUGAGAUAGGAUACAUGGCAGGCCACUUGCAAAAUAUAUUGCAAAGUAUUUCAACCUCUAAGUGUGCAGUUACAGUAACCUCAUUGUUGUAAACUUGCUUAAUCCUUACUUUUGACUCUCACGAAAAAUCUAAACACUGAUAUCACUAAUGGUAACUGCAGCAUGGAAAACGUCUGUGUUUCUUUCUAAAGGAGAAGUAAAGCAGAUGGGGUGCAUGUCAAUGUCUAUUUUUAAUGGCUGUAAUCAAGCAUUCGAAAAGAGUUCCAUAUCUGAUGCUUUUCACAGUGAUACACACAUGCAUAUCUCACCGAUCUAUACCUUUAUUGCAGCCCAAUGACAUGUAUUGCUGUGGGUUUUAUUUCUGUAGUCCAUGAUAAUAACCUCAAACACAUAAUGCAAAUGAAAUGCAAACCUGAAUUACUUGGUUUCUCUUUCGUGCUGUGAUGACAUUUCUCAAACAUUUUUCUAAAAUCUAUAAUACUCUGAGAUUUUUCUUAGGCCAUAGUAUAUGCCAAAACGUAUUGGAAACAUUCUCCAAGUUAACUAUGUUUUCUGUUUGGUGACUUUGUGUCUUAUAACUUCCAAUUCAUCAGUUAAAAAAAUGUUUUAUAAGACAUAUUCACAAGUCUGCCAAGGCACUCUGGAAGUAACCAGCAACUCCUACCAUUCACCAAUAGCUUUUAAAAGUAGAACAAAUAUCCUACUUUCCUGCUUCGCAGAAAUGUGUUUCGGGGAAUCAACCUUGGCGAGUGACAGUUAUAUAUCCACGGUGCCUUAUCAUGUUCAGCCACAAACUUACUGGCAUGGCCCAGGCUCUGCCAUAAGGCUCGGCUCUCUACGCCCUCACAAUGGUAUAAUCUUACUUUGCUACUUCUUAAUUUUGUCAACAAAUGCAUUUACUUGCUAUAUUUAUGUUUCUACCUUAAUUUCGAGCUGUCCUCGACUGCACUUAUGUUGUUAAUUAUUGAACCCUAAGUACUACUCUGAACGAACGCCCUAUUUCUAUAUCCUUACAAACUUCUCAGUUUUGUAACAUUUAUGCAUUUGUGAUGUCCUUCCAUACCUUCUAUACUGUAAAGUCUAAAAAGAAAGGAUGUCAAAUAAAUUAAUAAAUAAAUAGAUAAAAUCAAGUAGUACAAAUAUAUAUUAUGGAGUAACUUAUGGCCAUUGUUUAUGAGAGAUAUAUGGAGUUUGCUCAGAUUUUGCAAUCAUGGCUGCUAUACAUGUCCAAUCAAGUUGCAUAGAUAAAGGGAAUGUCAUCUUAGUUUUUAAAGAAUUCAAGAAAAGCACACUCUUAGUCCUUUAACUAUCUUGGGGUUUCCCUUACUGACUCAUAUUUUACUUUUUACUUUACAUAUUCACCCCCCCCCCCCAACACACUUUUUUUUUGUCCUCUUUGCUCUCUCUGUUUCCCCUAGAAACCUUACCACUUUAAGUGGUACCACCACUGCCUCCGUAGCAAACAUGUCGGCUUAAUUCAUUGCCAUUCAGUUUUAAGAUCCAACAUUCCUUAUAAGUUUCACACAUGGUAACAACCCUGUAUAUACAUGAGCAACACUAGUGCUGCCCAUAACUUUAGUCAUAGCCUUCCUACUGUAAAGUAUUGAAAUAACUGCGUCAUUUUAUGGAGAGCAGGGCCUUCUUCAACAUUUAUUUCUGUAAGUUUCUGUAUGUCAAUUAUUUGUUGUCAAAACCACCAAAGGGAAUUUACUCUUUAGGAAACUGUAGAAUCUACAAUUCCACUCUGUUUAGUAGUUGCAGUUGCAGAAUUAAUCCAGGAAUAUAGUCCCACUCAGUGUUUUAUAUUUACAAUUUUUUUUUUUUUUUUUAACCAAAGCAGCGGUAGUGCUAGAGAUUGCAUGUUAUCUUGAAUUUCAGCUGCUGUGGAAUGCAGCACUCAUACAUAACUGUAUAUACAGAUGCACACAACCAGCAGUGAAAGGGGAACACCAUAAUUAAAGGACCACUAUAGUGCCAGGAAAACAAACUAGUUUUCCUGGCACUAUAGUGUUAAUAGGUCCUCCCCCACCCUCAUGGCCCCCCUCCCGCCGAGCUGAAGUGGGAGGAAGGGGUUAAUCCCUUACCUUUCUUCAGCCCCGGGCUCCCUCGGCGCUGGGGACUCUCCUCCUCCUUCCGACCUCAUCAGUUGAAUGUGCAUGCGUGGCAUAAGCCGGGCGCGCAUUCAGUCAGUCCAUAGGAAAGCGCGGAAGCCCCUCUACCGUCUGUCAAUGAGACAGCCACUAAAGGCUGGAUUAACCCAUAUGUAAACAUAGCAGUUUCUCUGAAACUGCUAUGUUUACAGAAGGCAGGGUUAACCCUAGGUGUACCUGGCACGCAGACCAUUUCAUUAAGCUGAAGUGGCCUGGGUGCCUAUAGUGGUCCUUUAACAUUGCAUUACACUAGUGGUUAUGUUUGUGUUGGAUUGCACACUGUGAAUCACUGGAUUUGGAAACAUGAUUUGCCUACCAUAAUAAUUUGCUAUAAUUUAAAUGAAACACACACUAUUGGAAUGCAUGCCAUGUUAACAAUAACAGCAUAAAGCUACAAUAGUCCUUAUAAUGUUACUUUACCUACUCUUUUCUACAGGAGAGCUCCCUCUGUCUCUAGCAGCGUGUACGAAUCAGCCCGAUAUUGUAAAUUUCCUUCUAAAUAACCCAUACCGGAAAGCUGACCUCGCUGCCAGAGAUAGCCAUGGAAACACUGUAUUACAUGCUCUGGUUUUGGUGGCAGAUAACACAGAAGAGAAUACAGAAACAGUAACUAAAAUGUAUGAUGAUAUUUUGAAGAAAUCAGUGAAAAUUAAUCCACAACUCGGACUGGAAGAACUUGCCAACUGGGAGGGACUAACUCCUUUAAAACUGGCAGCAAAAACUGGCAAAAUUGAGGUAGGUCCAUGGAAAUAUCCUGUGUGCCAAAUGGGGAGCACGUGAAAAGUCAAGUUAAAAAUGUGGCUAUUAAAUCUAGCAAAAUUAUAUUGCUGUGUUUAUAAGAUCAAAGCCUUAAUUUCCUAACCUAGAUUUGGAACUUUUUUCUAACGUUAUUGAAUCAUUUGGAAAGCUUAUUAAAAUAAGUGUAAUUUAAACUCAUGCUAUAGAUUACGAGGCAUAGAUUAGGUGGUCUUUGGGGCUAGGUGGAGACUUAGAGAUAAAGGUCAAGUUCUGGCUAGGAGGUUACAGUCCAUCAUACCUUGAAGACUGGUAACAAUUAACUAUAAGUUACUCUUAACUCAAAUUUUAGUAUACCUCUAACUCUUAACCUAUCCCUAAAUUACCCAAAACCUAACUGUCUACCUGCAAGUCCACCUUAUGCUAUGUCACGCCUAAAACGCUUCCUCAUCAGAAACCAACCCCAAUAACAAAACCUGCUUUAAAGAUGUCUUUUUAAAGAUGCUGCUGCUGCAAACUUAUACAUCAUCAUUAUUAUGUCUUGCUGUUUAUUUUAUCUAAUUUUAUUUUAUAUUGUUUAUAUUAAAUAUGUAAAAGAAGACCAUUUAAAAUCCCUUCCCAUUGUGUCUUAUACCCCACCUCCUAUAGACUGUAAGCUCGUUUGAGCAGGGUCCUUUCUAACCUAUUGUUCCUGUAAGUAUUCUUGUAAUUGUCCUAUUUAUAGUUUAAUCCCCCCUCUAAUAAUAUUGUAAAGCGCUAUGGAAUCUGUUGGUGCUAUAUAGAUGGCAAUAAUAAUUAUAAUGAUAAUAACCGCCAUUAAAAUAGUAAGUAAAUGUAAAACAGAAAAGCGCAUCCCUACUUUUAUUAUGUGACAGGAUUCUCCAGCCAUAUACAUGCAGCUCUGGUCAGACAGUUGUUGAAAACCAACAAUUAGUUCUAGUCUCACUCCUUGUACAGAAGCAGGAAAGACAAUAGAGACUAACUUUCCAAUUUUGGAUACUGUCGGACCAAAGGUUCAUGUAGGAAUGGGUUUUCUAGUGUUUUACAUAUGCGUAAUUUAGAAAACAAAAAAUCUAUUUUCUAUCGACACAUGAUGGAAGGAUUGUUAUAUUAAAACAUAUUUUUGGGGUGAGAGAUGUCCUUUAAAGGUAUACUGGAGAAUGUACCAAAUCAACAGGAAAUGUCAUAUAUAUGAUUCACAACACUGCAUUGCCAUCUGCAGGACAGAUCCAAUAUUACACAUGUUAAAAACAGAUGGACUUUAUUGAUGGAUAGUCAAGAGAUAUGGUACGAAUUCAUAUAAGAGAGGAAUAUCUUAGUACUCCCUAUAAUUUAAGUUUUUUUUAAGCUGAAUGUCUGUCUGCAUGAUGUGAUGUAGAUAAAUAAUUUUGUUUGGAAGUUGCAUGUACACUCCUUCCUCCAUUACUGCUACAAAAUGGGAGUCUAACUAAUGCAGGGGUCCCCAGAAUUCUCUUUUAACCAUUAGCCCUGUACAGUGAUCCUCCUGAUAUCUAUGUCCAAUGGGGUGAUAUGCAUACUAAAACAAUGUAACAGGUACUUUAUGCUUUAGAUUAGAUCCUUUUAAAACUGCAUGAAUCUCCAUCACGCCCUUUUAGUCAGAUUUUUUUUUUUUUUUUGCAGAUAAAUGUAUGGCUACAAAGUGAGCUGGAACAUUUUGGGCCUCUGAAUUGCCUUUAGUAAAUACUGAAACACUGAUUUUUGUCAAUUUCUGUGAUUGUCACUGGAUAUUUAAAAUCAGAGGCACAUUCAAAUAUUUUUUUUAUGUUUUUUCCUAUUUUAAUGGAAUAUAGCUUAUUUUAUGUACGUUGAUGAGUGAAUUGAUUGUUGCCGAUUCAACAAAGUAAUAAAAUAUUUGCAGUGGACAAAUUGCAUUUUUUUUAGGAAUUCACAUAGUUAAGCUUAGAAUACUUUAGACACUGUAACUAUUUAAAUAUUAAAUAUAAUUUUUACACUUGUUUGAUAUGUCUCGUGUAUUUCAGUUGUUCAGACACAUACUUCGGAGAGAGAUAACAGAGCCAGAGUAUAAACAUCUUUCUCGAAAGUUCACAGAGUGGACCUAUGGACCAGUGCACACAUCACUAUAUGAUCUGUCAUCUGUGGACACGCAUGAAAGGGACUCUGUUUUGGAAACAAUUGUGUUUAAAAGUAAUGCCAAUGUGAGUAUCAAAUAUCUGUAUACUUCAGCAGAUUUGUAAUGUUUAGCAUGUCUUGACAUUAAGCUAUGCUCAUAUUGUAACAUAAAAUUUUUAUUUUUUUAUUAUUAGAAGAGAAGUGCGGUACAAGGCACAAAAUACAUAUAUGCAACUUUUGGCAUUACAUUAAAAAAGUAAAUUUGUUAGAUGGUAUACCAUAUACAUAAAUGCUAAAUCUAUCAUAGCUUUAAGUGUGGUCCCAAAGAACUAGAAGAAGAAUUCUCAUUAAGACCCCUUUACUGUCCUUUUUUAUUUCUUUAAUGCAGUAUAUAAUCCACCACCGAGAACAAUAGUAAGGCGGAGAAGAAAAGCCAAAUAGUUUCAGGAAAGAAAUAAAAAAUGUAUAUCAACCAACAGGGUCUUUUGACUAAGUUUGGAAACAUAUUAACAUCAAUUGGGGAUAAUUAAAGAGGAGUCUUCCUCUCCCAUGUAGUGUGGAUCGUUGCUUGUUGUCAUCACAUUCUUCCAGAACUACAAUUGAUUACACUGUACAAGAGUGACAUGAGCUGGUAAAGUUGCCUCUGCUAAUGGAUUGUUCAGAGACAACAUGCUAGACACCAGAAAUGUUGGAAACCGGAGAAUGGCUGUAAAACUGUCCAUUUUAUUUCUAUAAGUAAUAACAUGAAAGGUCAGCUGGGUGAGGUCAUAUAUCAGAUGUAUCCCAUAUACAUACAUGUAUCCCAUAUACUUGGAAGCUAAUAUCACUUUGCAGUUUGCAUUCGUGAUAACAAACGCAGUCCACUAGAAGUUCAUGUUAUUGUGCAGACUACAGCGACUGAUUGGGUGGUCUGUAGUUACUUUUGAGAGUUCAGUUGUAAAAAGUGUAGUUGUAUGAAUCUAAAAAAUACAUUGCAAUGGUUUUGCUUUCACACAAAACAUUUCCCAAAUCAAUUAAUUCAUAUUGUUUUAAUAUAAUACUUACAAAUUUCUAAUCAUUUCUCAAUAAAUAUAUAUAUAUAUAUAAUCCUUGUAUUUUGUUUCAUAUUUCUCUGCAGAACCGGCAUAACAUGAUCGUAAUUGAACCAAUCAACCAGUUGCUGCAAGACAAAUGGGAUGCGUUUGCUGGCAAAAUAUUUUAUUUGAAGUUCCUCUUGUAUAUUGCUUAUAUGAUUAUAUUUACAGUGACAGCUUACAACAGACCCCUGGUUGGACAGGUGAGAGUGAGUGCCAAUCACUAUCAGAUCUCCCUUCAUUCCUGCAUUAGUCAGAGUGCCGAAUGUGAAGCACUUUAUCAGAAGGGAACACAACAGGUGCUUGACUGGUCAGAGAGACAUUUUUAUCUUUCCACCAGCUUGAGGUGCAGCAGAUUGGAAAUUGUGGCCGACACUCCAGAUGAAUGUCUAAUUCACCCUAACUGUGCACUAUAUCUGCAACAAUUGAUGGAUAGAUUUAAUUGAAUACGUAUAUUGUGAUUAUUAGAUUAAAAGAGAAAAAUAUACAAUCUAUACAGUUUUCAAGCAAAGAUUAAUUUAUUAAAUAACUGGGACUUGCAGAAAAAAAACUAUUCUUUUUAUACACUGAGAGUACAUAAUAAUUAUGUACUCUCCUCUUCUUUGAUCUGUCCCAAAAAUGAUUUAAAAAUCCAGACUAUGCUAUUUUUAGUGCAAACAUGUAUGCAUGGGUUUUUAAAUCUGUAUUUAGGCUUCAAUUUAAUAUUAGCCUUUAAAGUGAAUUACUGUUGGAUAAGCUUUACAGAUGAUUUAAUAUUGUAUGGAUACACUUUUAAAAUGCUUUUUUUAGAUUUGUGCUCGGGGCAACAUCGAAUAUGAUUAAUGCAAGACUGUGUAAUAGCGUAACCUGUAAUAGGAAAAAGUCGGUUGUGGUGUGCCAAAACCGACGUAUGCAGUAGGCCAGUAAAUAAAGUGGGCCCACCCUCGUAGAAUGUAAUGAAUAAAGGGAGUGGAUGGGGGGGCAUACAUAUUGCCAGACCAAUAACGGUAGGGUAGGAAAGGGGGGAGUCCCUUAUAUAGGUCCAUAAACUACUCCCACAAAUCCAGGCACAGCCUUUACAUUUGUGUUCGGGGCAACAUCGAAUAUGACUAAUGCAAGACUGUGUGAUAGCGUAACCUGUAAUAGGAAAAAGUUGGUUGAGGUGUGCUGAAACCGAGGUAUGCGAUAGGCCAGUAAAUAAAGUGGGCAAAAAGGGAGAAGUACCAUGCCGUUGUACAUUUAUUGAAAAAUUAACAUAAUAUAAAGUAAAUACAAAUAUGAUGACAUUUUAACAAAAGCUUUCCGCAUUUCCUUUCCUUUUUUUCUGGGGAACAGUGCAUCAUAACCACUACUACACUCUGUAGUUGUUCUGAUGCUUGGAAUAACCCUUUAAGAAUGAUGACCUUUGCCAUCUCUAAGGAUAAGCAGGACCAGGUUCUUAGUCACUUAUAAAAUAUCAUUAGGAUCAUUAAGAUAAAGAUAUGUAAUAAACCUAACGAUUAUAUUUACAUUGUUCUUAAAUGUAUUUAAUCCUUUCCAUGCAGCCCCCAUUCCCUUUGGAAGGAACCGUAAAAGAUUCUUUUCGUGUGUUUGGAGAAGUUAUCAUCAUGUUUGGUGGUGUGUACGUACUAAUAUGCCAGGUACAUGAUUAUAUGAUGCUACUUUGUCACAUUAAUGCACAGCAGUGUUUAUAUUAAAAAGUGUUAUUUCACACCUGAGUUCUACUGUGAGUGAAAAAUACACUCAAUAUUUAUUUGAAAAUGUCCUGGAUAUAGUGCUAGCAUGUAAGAUUAGAGCAAAAUCAUUUUUGUGCAUGAACUGAAGUUGAAAGAUAUUUUUUUUUUUUUAAAUGUAAAUGCACAAAACUUCAGAUUUUCAUUUAUUUGUUCAUGAUGUGCAGGAAAUUGGAGAGUGGGGCAUGCAUUUGUAUUUGACAUGAUAAUGCCCAUUUAAUCAACCAUUUUAAACAUGUGUUUUAAGUAUGUCACAUACAGUUUUUGAGAAAUGUCAUAUGCAACCUUAAGUAAUUGCAGCUAUCAUUUUAUCACUUGAUUAAUUCAGAAAAUUUCUUCAUACUUUGCGAAAUUUUCUUUUCCUUGAUAUAUCCAUGACAGCAUCACUAUAGGGUUAGCUCCUCCCCCUUGGCUGUUUAGGACAGGAAAUACUUUACAAAUGGACCCUCCUUACUUGGUAUUGUCAGUCUUAUAACACGUUUGAAGGAUCUAAAAAUGGGAAGGGAAAGAUUUUGAUGUUGCCAUAUAUAUAUCCAGGAAAAGAAAAUUACGGUAAGUAUGAAGACAUUUUCUGAAUUCCUGGCUAAUCCAUGGCAGCAUCACGAUGUGGUAAUACCCACACUCAACUUAGGGGAAUGAAAUCAAAACCAAAGACAAAAGUAUAAUGCUCUAGAAAAGAUUCUUUAUUAUCCAGAAUCAAAGAGGUUCAUGAAACCGAGGAAAGGAUAUUCCUUCCAAACUCUGUAGCUUUCCGAGAUCUUACAUCCAAGGCAUAAUGCUUUAUAAAAGUGUUAGUCAAGGCCCAUGUAGCUGCUCUGCAAGUGCUCUCAAUAGGUGUGUUGCAUGCAGCUGCCCAUGAUGUAGAUAGAGAUCUCGUAGAAUGAGCCCUUAAACCUGAAGGGACCUGUGCUUCCUGGGCCUGAUAUGCGGAAGAGAUGGCCGCAAUUAUCCAACGGCUUUAAGUAGGUUUGGAUGCAGCAAAGCCUCUACGAUGCCCAGCAAAGUUCAGGAAGAGCCUAGAUGAUUUUCUCCAACUAGCCGUCUUAUCCACAUAGAUAGAAAGACACCUGGAGACAUCUAAGGUAUGCCAUCCCUCUUACUCUGGAUUCGAUGGACACUGAAAAAAGGAUGGAAGAACUAUUACCUCAUUAAAAAUCAAACUCAGACAUCACUUCAGGAUGGAAUUCCGGAAUUGUCCGUAGGACUACUCGAUCAGGGUAGAUUACCAUACAGGAUUCUUCUGCAGAUAAGGCCUGAAUUUCAGAAAUCCUCCUGCCUGACGUAAUUGCAAGAAGAAGGAGAACUUUAAAAGUAAUCAGACGAUCCGUGGAAUCCGUUAGAGGUUCAAAAGGAGGAAGAGACAACGCCUUUAAAACUAAAGGAAGGUCCCAGGGCCGAGACAGGGACCUAAUAGAAGGCUUUACUUUCUUAACUGCUGUUAGAAAAUGGCCUACCAUGUUAUCCAAAGCCCACCUGGAACCAAUAAGAGCAGAUAAGGCUGAAACUUGCACACAUAGGGAACUUAGGCUUAGCCCUUUAUCCAGACCAGUCUGCAGAAAAUCCAAGAUGUUGGAGACCUUAGGAGAAAGCCAAGAGGCCUUGUUAUCUUUAGCCCAGUAAGCAAAACCCAUCCAUAUGUAAUAAUAAGUAGAGCAAGUUGACCUUCUCCUGGAUGGCAAAAGGGUACUGAUCACUGCUUGAGAAAAACCCCUGUUAGCUAGACUCUCCUUUCAAUUUCCAUGCCAUCAAAUGGAGUGUCUUUGGAGACGGUGAACCGCUGGUCCCUAAAUUAGAAGGUCCGGAAUGUCCAGUAACUUCCAUGGCUGGACAAUUGAAAGGAACUUGAAGAGAGGGAACCACAGCCUGCGAGGCCAAAACGGAAUUAUCGCCAACACCUGGAGACCCUCCAUCUAGAUCCUCUUCAAGGUCUUUCAUAUGAGAAGAAAUGGGGGAAAGACAUAGGCCAGCUUGAAUGGCCAAUUGUUGGACAGGGCGUCUGUGGCCAAUGCAUUGGAAUAAAAUGUUCUGGAGAAGAAUGUCGGAAGUUGGGAGUUUGAUGCUGGUGCCAUGAGAUCCACCUCCGGAGUUCCCCAACGCAAAACUAGUUGUUGUAAGAUCUUGGGAUUCAACUGCCAUUCUUUGGGAUCUAGAUAAUGCCUGCUGAGGAAGUCUGCUCUCGAAUUUUCUGUUCCUGGAAUGUAAAUUGCAUACAGUCCCAACACUAUCUUCUGAGCCCACAACAUAAUGGGUUCUAGUUCCUGAAGAAGAUCCUUGCUUCUGGUACCACCAUGCCUGUUUAUGUAAGAUACCGCUGUUCGAUUGUCUAUGCAAAUCUUCACCCAUUUCCCCAUUAAGAUGUCUUGAAAGUGAAUCAGACCCAAGAAAACUGCUCAUAGCUCUAGAAGGUUGGCUGGAAUGUGAGAGGCUUUUUUUUCCCCAUUUGCUUUGGGCAUUCCAUUGCAGAAGAUGAGCACCCUAACCUAGACCACUGGUGUCUGUCAUUAAGGUUAUUCAUACUGCUUCCCCCUGAGGAAAACCUUUGCGGAGAUUUGCAGGGUCCUGCCACCAGUUCAAGAUUGUCCAAAGCUUGUCUGUAAUGAGAAUCGUUUUGGACCACUUGUCCCUGUUCUGGUUAAAUCUUCUAAAAAAAAUAUAUAUGGGGAUAGCGAAGAUGCCACUGAGCCCACUUUACCAGGCCAAUGGUCGAGGAAAAAUUGCCCAGCAUGCUCAUCAAUACUUCUGUUGAAACCCAUUUCGAGUCGAUUACCUUCUGGACCCGUGUUAUGAUACAAUCUCUUCUUUCUUUUGAAAGAAAAAAACAUCACUAAUCUUGUGUCGAACCAUACUCCCAAAACGCAUAUACACUGGAUAGGAAAAAUCUGACUUUUUUGGUAGUUGAUAAUCCAUCCAAACUCUUCCAAUGUCCUUAUUGUCUCAUCUCUUUGAACUAUAAGGUUGUCUCUUGAUUCUCCUACUAGAAGAAUGUUGUCCAGAUAAUAUUAAAUAUUGAGACCUUGCAGUCUCAUCUGCACUAUCAGAGCUAAAAAAAACCAUUUGAAAAAGUCCUUGGCGCCAUACCUAGUCUGAAGGGAAUAGCUCUGAACUGAAAAUGGUCUCCUAGAAUGACAAACCUCAGGAAUCUUUGAUGAUGUUUUGCUAUCGGGAUGUGGAAAUAGGUGUCUUUGAAAUCUAUUGAGAUCAUCCAGUCUUCUGGACAAAUAACUGAGAUUAUAGAAGUCAAAGACUCCAUCCUAAAUCUCUGGACAUUGAGAGAUAGAUUCAGGUUGUGUAAAUCCAGGAUCGAACGCCAAUCUCCCAAGGACUUUGGUACCAGGAAGAGAUUUAAAUAGAUGCCUUGAAAUCUUUCUGGCCGAGGAACCCUUAAGAUCACUCCUUUUUGAAGAAGAUUGGAUAUGUCUCUUAUAAGGGCUUGCCUUUUCACUGGAAUACCUGGAAAAAAAUUGUAACAGGAAAGUUCUCGGAAUUCCAGCCUGUACCCGUCUUUGCGAAUAGAAACUACCCAGGGAUCCAGACAUGCUUGUGCCCAGGUCUCCCAAAAGAGAUGGAGGUGGGCUUCUACACCUGAGACCUGGGGGCCCAAACCUUUGGAAGGGCCUAUUUGAUGCCCUAGAACCAACUGAUGGUUUACUUCUGUUACCUCUUCCAGACUGGCCUCCUCUCCAAGCUGAUUCUCUAGCAAAUUCUCUUCCUUGUUUAUAUGACCUUGAAUCUCAAAAGGAAGGUCUGUCAUGAAAGGAUCUUAUGUCUUGUCAAUUCUGGGAGACCUUCUUACCCCUUUGAUACUGAGGAAGAAACGCCUUCUUGCCUUCUGCAGCACGUUUAAUGGCUUCCUCAAAUUGUUUGCCAAACAAUAAAUGUCCCUGAAAUGGGAUACCAUAUAAGCUAUUCUUAGAGAAUAAAUCAGCAUUCCAGGAUUAUUCCCAAAGAACUUUAUAAAAAACUUUAUUUAAAAAAAGGCUCCUAUAGCAUUUCAGAGUGGGAGAAAAUGAGGAGAAAAUAAGAUAAAAAUAAAAGGAUAUUAUAAGAAUAGUGUUACAGUAUACUAUUAAGAUACACAACAAUGAUAAACAACAAACUAAACAGCACAUUGGCUAUGUUUGUGAAUGUGGUAACCGCAUCACCCGUAAUCUCUUUAUAAGGUGCACUCAUUCCAAGCUGUGUAAGUGUCAGUUCAAGAAAUCAAUAUGAAAACCACAAUUAAAACCCACAUUGUGGUUCUACACAGGUAUGGGACAUUCAAAUCUGAGGUGGUUAAUGUCGCACAAUGGAUUAUCCGGUAAAACAACUUAUGAAAAUACGUUAAAAAUCAUAGAUAUAAAUAUAAAUAGAUAUCAAAAGCUAAUAAAAAAUGAUAAAAAAUGACACAUUUUCAAGUGUGCCUAGAAGACGACCCCCUUGAAGAUCUGGACACAGACGUAAGGGCAGCUGUUUUAUAAAAGAAACAAUAAAAAAUAAAAUGAAUGAGGGUUAAAAUAAAUAAUUAUAAAAGUAGUACAUUUUAAAAAGAAAUCCACUUACCUGCACUAACACUUGUAGAUGCCAGAGCACAAGAAGAAAUUCCUACUCAAAAACCAGCAACCAGCAAAACGAGAGAGAAAAAAAAGGACCAUUUAAAUAUGGAGCUUGCAACUUACAGGACCUCCCACAGAAAAUUCGUGCAACUGCACAUGCCCAAACUGCCGAAAUGCGCCAAAAUGGAAAUAGAAUAAAAGUAUUAAUUUUCUUGUUCAAGAAACGAAUGGCCCGUUCGUGCCGUGAACGAUAUUAAUUCCCGAACUGUAAAAUAUAAUCAACAAUAGGGAAAUGAAUGUGAAUGAAACCAUUCAAAUCUCCCGAACAAGAACAAAGUACAUAAAAGGGAACGCCGACCAAGAUGGCGGAAUGGCGCAAAAAGAACCGAAAGAAAACUAAGAGAAAGGUGAGUAUACCGCAUCAUGCUAAAGGCAAUGCCCUAAAGACAUAAACAGAGGUAAAAAAACAUAAACAGAGGUAAAUUAAAACAAAAAUAUGUAAAGGUAAUAUAAAAUACCUGAAACCUUGUCCAUAGCCAAGAGGACAGGAACAAAGACUGAUGAUACCAGUUAAGGAGGGUGUAUUUGUAAAGUAUUUCCUAUCCUAAACAGCCAACGUAGGAGCUAACCCUAUCGUGAUGCUGCCAUGGAUUAGCCAGGAAUAGUAUUUUUUUUUUAGCUCUAACAUAAUUCACAGCACUUUACAAAUGUAUUUUAUCAUUUGAACUAAAAUAUGAUUAUUACAUGUUUUCUCUUAUACAGAUUAUCUAUUUCUGGAAGAGACGACCCUCUUUACAAAUUAUAAUGAUGGAUGGUUAUUUUGAAGUCCUUUUGUAAGUUGCAACUUAGUAUAUAUAAAGUAUAUAUCUAUUAUUUUAUAAUUUAUAUAUAAAGAUUGAUUAUCUAUUUUAUAAGAAAGCUUCACGUUCAAAACAGGAAAGCGGAUCAAUAUGUCAUUUUAGCAGCUCCGGAAAUCUUUAGUAGAUCUAGAAUUCGCUUUAGUUCCUUAAAGAUUCAAUGGAACGCAACUAUGAAUGCAUUUCUUAGCAUACGUAUAUACAUUUUGUAAUGUACAGUACCUUUUAAAAUGUCCAUUAUUGGAUAUAUUUGAUAUAACUAUUUUCUUUAAUCUAUGUCUACAUACCUAUUGUAAUCUAACCGUUUUCAAAUUGUAAUUUAACCACUCUAUAACACUAGCAUCAAAUGUAUAUGAUUCACCUUAACCCUUUUAUCUACCAAGCGGCUUGCAGAAAAUACACCCCUAGAAUCUGAGUAUUUUGGAUGUCCUGGAAAAAAAUGUUUACAUUUAUUUUUCAUUUCAGUAUGUCUAGAUAACACAUUAUUUAAUGGAAACAAAAUGAAAAUUUUGUCUGGACAGAAAAAACUUUAAAAAAAUUAAUAAUUUAGCGAUUAAUGAGAUUACAGAUAGGAAAACAAAGUUGUAAAUGAACAACAUUUCUCAAUAUGCAAUAUAGACUGUGGUGGAACCGCUGCCUGUUCAUGGGUUUUUCCCUCUCUUUUACAUGUGUUUCCCCUGUAUGUUCAUUUAUUAUUAUUAGGGAAUUCAUUCACCUCCCGAAUGGGGUCCACCCCAAUACCUCAGUUAGAAUGUUAGGUUAAAAUGUUUACACCUCGCAACAUGUGUCAAAAUCGCAAACGCAACUCAUUCGUCUCCCGAACGAGGACCUACCCGGUGCCCCAUUAAAACGUUCACACCAAUUAAUCAGAACGUUUGCACUCGCAACAUAGGUGUGAAACCGCAAGGGAAGUAAUUAAUAAGUGCUCCCCUGGGUGACCGCCAUUUGUAUUGACGAACAACAAUCUGGGGGAGCAUUCAUACCCCAAAAGGAGAUGCUUCCCUUGUCUGGGUUUUACACUAGGACCUUGCGAACGGAGACUAGUCGAUAGAGGGACCAAGACGAGGGUCCUUGAGAUUGGUGUGGACACUUUUGGGGCACUGGCUAGUUUGGCGGCUCUCAAGAGCCUGAGGGACAAAGAGGCUAGCUCUUUUCCCGCAGGCGGGCUUUUCUGUGCCUGGGAGACAAAGGAACGGUCCCUUUUUCCCGCGCCUAGACUCCCAGACACAGAGGCUCUUGGGAAGAAGACCCCUGGCGGUUGGUGUGGGGAACCCUUUGGAUUGAGUGGCAGGCUUUUGGGACAAAGGGGAUGGAGUCCCUUCUCACGCUGAGGCCCCAGGGAGGGGGAGGAUUUUGGGACGUGACCCUGUAUGAUUGUGUGGUAGACCCCUUGCACGGGGUUAUGCAUAAAAGCCGUGUGUGGUCAAUUAGGUUGUGUUGUACCUCCAGGUCUGUAUCGUCCAGUUAUUGGGGGGGGGCAUGAAAAUGGGUCUCCUUAUUCUCUAACUGGUUCCCGACCGGCUGAAGGAAGGGAAUUAGCAGCGGUAACCAGUCGGGUUACCCUGGGUACACUACAUAGACUUUUUUCUUCAUAUAGUCUAUAAUCUUCCCUAUACAUUGCCCGGUAUGCACCCAGUUCUCACUUGUGUGAAAAUAUAAAUCUAUCCCUAUGUAUUUUGAAUAUGUUGCCACAUUACCAUGACAUUACCCAUACCAUAUCACCCUCACAUUACAGCCAUGUUGCCUCGCACAGAAAUACAUGCUCACACAUACUGAUACACGCACGCACAGAAUGCCUAGUUCUCUGGUCUUAGCCAGAGGGCAGCCUGCACAAAGAGCAGUGAAGCACCGUGUAGAAAUCUCUAGAUCUCCCGACUGGCCCUUGUUGUGCAGGGAGCUGAGGCCGAGCACAGCAGAACCAGCACUUAAAAGGUAACACCAACUCUGCUAUCAGCACAAUCAUUGCUAGAUAAAUUAGUUUGCAAUGAACUAAUAUCAUUUGCAUGGAUAUUUAUCAUGUAAACAUGAUGUGAAGUGGUUAAACAUAAUAAUGCCACUCAGCAUCAUUUGUUUGGGGCUCACCCAGUGUUUAUUGUAUAGCAUAAGUCACUGACGAAAACCAUUAUUACUGUGGAUGUUAUGGGCUACUUUUUCCAUAUGGCUGACUGAGUUUCACUAGAGGUGUGUUCCAUAAAAUAAUUUAAAAGGGGUUAACUGCCAAGUGCAUUGGUGAUCUUGUUAUUUAGUACCGGACUUUUAACUUUGCCCUUUUUUUCCAGCUUGCUCCAAGCAAUUAUAUUGCUUUGCAGUGGUAUCGUUUAUCUCGCAGGAAAUGAAGCUUAUGUUACUUUCUUGGUCUUGGCAAUGGUGAUAGGAUGGGUGAAUAUGUUAUAUUACACUCGUGGCUUUCAGCAGACUGGAAUCUACAGUGUCAUGAUACAGAAGGUAUGACAUCAUAUUGAUGGUAGAUUUAAGUGCUCCAUCUUCAACCAUGUCUGCUUAGUAUUAACAGGCAAAGCAUAAUCUUAUUUAUUAUUAUUAUUAUUAUUAUUAUUAUUAUAGACUUUCCUUUUGCAUUUUUCAAGUUGUUGGACAGCAAUUUUUAUAAUUCUUGUAUUUUAAUAGAUACUUUUGUCUUUUGAACAAUGUUAUUGCACUCUAUUGCUCUCUCUGCAGGACAGCCAGAACAGUAACAAACAUACAGGAGUUUAGUCAGGCUGGAUUAAUAUGACUUUAUAUCACUAUUCCAUCCCACUCUUUGUCAAUGGCUGCCUGGCUUGGCCAGCAGUGUCUGUGCUGCUUAGUUGUCCUCCUCGCACAGAAACACAUGCUCACACAUACUGAUACACGCACGCACAGAAUGCCUAGUUCUCUGGUCUUAGCCAGAGGGCAGCCUGCACAAAGAACAGACAGCCUGCCUUUAAGUUUCGCCCGCCCACUGGCAACAGACCAUUUCCACUGCCAAUCAUCCCACCCACCAGCCAUUUGGGUCAACUACAGAAGGUCUGGCUGAGAUCAUUAAGCACACUUUCCACCAUUCUGCCAGUGCAGCUCCACCAACCUGGUGCCAGCCACUGUGAUCAGUGUGUAAUAUUGCUGAUUGUUAUAAGGAGUUGGGAAGAUUGUAUUUAAUGUACUGCAUUUAUGUGAUUCAUGAUUGUUAUCUGCACUUUCUUUCUUUUCAGACCAUACUGAGAGACAUGCUUCGCUUCUUGUUUGUGUACCUUGUCUUCCUCUUUGGAUUUGCAGCAGGUACUUUUCUAAAUUAAGGUUAAGGUCACUAACACUUACACACAGGGAAGUAUGUGGUUAGUAAUACAUAGACUUAUACAUUUAAAAGAUUUAAGCCAAAAUCGUAAUGAAAUUGUGGUUUAACUAUAUAUAUUUGUUAUAAACAAAAUAAUAGUCACAUUUGCAAUCCGUUAGACAUAUGCAAUUUGUUUCGGUCCGAAUUAAAAUUUGGCCGAAUUUCGGGUAAUUCGGACAUUCGGGUGCUUCCGAAUGUCCGAAUAGCUGAAUUGACGAAGUGCCGAAUUGCUGAAGUCCCGAAGUGACAAAAUUACCGAAUUUCUGAAGUGUAGUAGUGCCGAAUUGCUGAAGUGCCGAAGUUGCAGAAGUUCCGAGGUGUCAAAGUGCCGAAGUUCUGAGGUUCCGAAGCACAGUAUUGCCUAAGUACUAAUAUACUUACCCAGUGAAAGAAGAAGAAUGUUACAUUGUAUACAUUUUCAAAUAAAUAGUAUACAAACAUAGCCAGGAUUCAGCUGUAAGCAUUUGCAACACUUACAACAAUCAAGUAACUUACAUUUAUAUAAAAUGUAAGUUACCUAGCCUGUCAUGUAAUGACAGGAAUGAAUAAGUAGAUAACUCCCUAAUUCCUGAUAUUAGGGAGCUAUCUACCAAAAGGCUGAAAGACCCGAAUUGGUCUUUCAGCCAAAUUUACUAAUACUAAGUAAAGAUUUGCUGUGUAAUUUGACUCAUAACUCUCUGAUUGGUUACUUAAUUCACCAAUCAGAGAGUUACGAGUCAAAUUACACAGCGUGGGAAAAUUCCAAAGAACUUUCCCAUGCUGUGUAAAAUGACACAGAGCACUCUGAUUGGUGGAUUUCAAACCAACCAAUCAGAGUGUUGUGACAGGUAAGUGUAGAGACUUACCUGUCAGUCUCUUCAUUUACCUGUCAGAACACUCUGAUUGGAUGGCCUAAACCCACCAAUCAGAGUGGUCUGAGCCUAAUUGCAGGGUGGGGAAAGGCUUUAUAAGCCUUCCCCCGCCUUGCAGAGCUCAGUCUGCGCGGAGCCCUCCAUGGGUGAAGAUGGAUUAUUUUUUUUUGCGCUCUGUUUUUUUUUUUUUUUUAAUUGCGUUGGUUAUUAUCGAUUUUUAUUUUGCCUUUUUUGGGGCUGAAAAAAGAAGAUAUUAGAAGAAACAAGACAUCAAAUGGUAAGUUUAUUUUUAUUUUUACAGGUACUUAGUUAAAGGUCCCCCCUUAUUAUUUUUAGGGUGAGGAUGGUAGGUAGGGGUUUAUUUUUUGGGGGAGGAGGUGACUAGGGGUUUGGGGACCCUAGUCACCUGGGGGAAGGGGGAUAAAUUUGUAUUUAGGGCCCCCACCCACCGCUCAGGGGUGGGGGCCAGGGGGGAGGACAUUAGGUCCCCCCCUUAUUCUUGUUUAGGGCCCCCACCCACUGCUCAGGGUUUGGGGCCAGGGGGGAGGACAUUAGGUCCCCCCCUUAUUCUUGCUUAGGGCCCCCACCCACCGCUCAGGGGUGGGGGCCAGGGGGGAGGACAUUAGGUCCCCCCAAUUUGUAUUUAGGGCCUCCACCCACCGCUCACGGUUGGGGGCCAGGGGGGAGGACAAUAGGCCCCCCCUUAUUCUUGUUUAGGGCCCCCAUCCACUGCUCAAGGGUGGGGGCCAGGUGAGAGGACAAUAGGUCCCCCCUUAUUCUUGUUUAGGGCCCCCUCCCACCGCUCAGGGGUGGGGGCCAGGAGGGAGGACAUUAGGUCCCCCCUCUUUUUCUUUUUUAGGAACCACACCCACCGCUCAGAGGUGGGGGCUAGGGGAGGACAAUAAGUCUCCCCCCAAUUUGUAUUUAGGGCCCCCACCCGCCGCUCAGGGGUGGGGGCCUGGGGGGAGGACAUUAGGUCCCCCUCCCUUAUUAUUGUUUAGGGCCCCCACCCACCGUUCAGGGGUGGGGGCCGGUGGGGAGGACAAUAGGUCCUCCCCCCUUUUUUUACUUUAGAGCCCUGACCCGCCGCUCAGGGGUGGGGGCCGAGGGGGAAUAGGUCACCCUUUAGUUUAAAAGCCCCCACUCGCACGUCGCGUGUGGGGGCUCAGGAGGGGGGGACCUUUUUUUUGUUUUUUUUUAACAGGGAGCAACCACAGGCAGCUCACUGUUUAAUAGACAUGCCCCAUAAUUUUUACUUAGUAUUAGUAAAUGUGGCUAAAGGACGAAUUUAGGUCUUUCAGCCUUUUGGUAGAUAGCUCCCUAAUACCGUGGGAAUUAGGGAGUUAUCUACCAAGCGGCUGCAAGAAAAGUCCCAAAAUGCCGGAGUUCUGAAGUUCCAAAGUGCUGAAGUUGCCGAAGUUCCGAAGUGGCGAAGUUCCGAAGUGCUGAAGUGUUCAAGUGCCGAAGUGCCGAAGUUCCAAAGUGUCGAAGAGCCGAAUUGCCGAAGUCCCGAAUUGACGAAGUCACAAAUUUCGGAAUGCCGAACCGAGCCGAAUAUUUUCCCCAUGCACAUGCCUACAAUCCGUUUCUCUUAAUUAAAUUAAUGUGUUACAUCUAAGCAGGUUUGUCCACUAAAGUCCAAAUUACCCCAGGCCAAAUAGUAAAACUAUAUUGUUGUAAUUCAGACUGCAAACUCCAGACAUUGUUGAUUGUAUUUAACAAUAUUCAGAUUUUGGAAUUCUGGCUCUGAAUGAGUCAGAAUUGUGUCUAGAAAUCACCUGGACCACACGUUGCCAGACGACCGAAUCCGUGCUUGUUUUUAGUAAAUGUAUGCAUUGCCAAUCCAGUUGGAAUUCAAUCAUUUUCACUGUACUUUGUCCAUCUGACCAUCUAUAACCCUGUUACAGUUUAGGACUCUGUGAUUUAAAUCAGCAUUUUGGAAAACUUUGAUAUAUGUAAUCUGUGGCUCCAGCAGUUGCUGGGUACAGCUCAUAGCACAUUCAACCAGUCUUUUUUAUGUUACUGAUUUGCCCAGCACAGCACUAGCUGUUGGACAACACUAUUGGGUUAGGUACAUAUAAUCAUCUACACAAGCAAUCUCUCCCUGCUGCUUGUGUGAUUUAUUGUUCCUAAAAGUGUUACUCAGCCUAAUAUGUCCCCCAAGUGGCUUUAUGGUUGAAAAAACACCGGAAGCAUUAAUUUUAUUAUCCCUGGUUGCACUCACUUCAGUUUUAUGAAAUGACAUAUACAUCAUAAUAAACAAAUACAAUGCAUAGAUUUUUGUGAGACUGCAACAAGACAGAUGUGUUUUGUGUUGUUGGCAGGAAUAAAUAAAAAUCUUUAUAUUCUUUAUUUGUGGCAGCAGCAUCAAUCAACAUCCAAACAUAUAUUUGUUGCCAUGCAGCAGGUUCACAAUGCAAUGUCGUUAGCCACAGUGAGAUCUUUGGUCAAGUUAGCACAUAUUCCUGGUUGAUUGUGACUUAAAUGUUGAAGCUCAAGGAGAGAAUUCCAGAAUACAUGACAACAUUUCUUCAAGCUGCUUUCUUACAUUUUUUCUUAUAUUGCUUUUACAAAUCAUAACAUACAAAUCGUUACAUCCCAAGGUAUUACUAUUAUCACAUACUAUAAGGAAAAUACUAGACUUGGGCAUUCAGUUUCGGCCGAAUGUGGUUAAUAAAAAUUAUUCUGCAUUUUUUGUCCAUUCGUUGAAUACUGAAUAAUGAAUGGGGAGCCAAAUGAACAAACACAUUAAUGGCUGCUGAACGAAAUUCUUCCAUGUGAUAUUUGAUGUUUGUUCAUUCACAACUCACAUUCAGACUUUUGUAUUGCACUGUCUGUAAUUCAAAAGGCCGAACGUUUAAUCUGAAUACACAAAUGGCUCAUUCUUUCGGUGAGCCUACGUUCUUUCUGCUCACUCCCAUCAUAUUUGAUAGGAGUGAACCGAACUAACGAAUGUGCACUUAAUGAAUGAGUCAUUCGUUCAUUUGGGAUACUUCUUGAAUUACAGACAGCCCACACCCAUUGCUGGUGGGUGGGUUCCCUAAGUAAUAAUGGGGGGAACCUAUUAUUCCUCCACAACCCCCACCCAUUGCCAGCAGGUUGGGACCCUAAGUAAUAAUGGCGGGAACGUAUCACCCCCCCCUCCCAGCCCCUGAGUAAUAAUGGGGGGCAACCUAUUGUUUUCCCCCAACCCCCACCCAUUAGCAGUGGGAUGGUGUCUUAAUUAAUAAACCUAUUCCCCCAUCCUAGCCCCCACCCAUUGGGGCGUUAAGUAAUAAAAGGGGGAAAGCCUUUUAGUCCCCACCUCUUAGCGGCUGAUGGGAGCUAAUUGCAAAAAAUAACUACCUCCCAUACAGUGACAAGGGGUCCCUAAGCCCCUAGUCACUCCCCAGUAAAUAAAUACCCUACCUAUCCUCGUCACCCUAAUAAUAGUGAGGAGAGGGCAAUAAACUAAAUACCUCAGUAAUAAAACAUAAAUACUUACCAUUAGAUUACUUAUUUUUUUCUUCAAUCUUAUUUUUUCUGCCCCAAGAAAGGCCAAAUAAAAAUACAUAAAUUCCGUCAAGCUAAUAAAAGAGAGGCCCGAAUGAAAAAAAAGAGCCCCUACCUUCCAGAAAUCGGUCGGGUCGGGUAUAUUAUUGCCUUAACUCAUCAAGCAUGGGUGGGGGAUGGAAGGGGACGGUAUGUCCCCCCCCUUUUUAGUUAUUUCAAUUUUUGCCACAUAGUAGGGGCAUGGGGGACCUGUGUCAUGUCCCUCUUUAUUGAAUUUGGGUAAUAGUAUAUAGUUUUAUCUCCUCUGUUCUAUCACACAUCUCAGCCUAUGUGUAAAGUUUGAAGAGAUUAACUUUCUGUACUUUUACCAUAUUACAGUGCUAUGUUUCACGUUAUAAAAGGGGGACAUUUACUCUGAGACCUAGGUUAUCAAUGGUAACCUGCUAGCUGCUGUCACAACUAAAUAAUAAAAUAUAAACAUAUUUUUGGUGGAUGGCUACCAUUCUGUAAUUUACCUGAUGCGCACCUUGGGACUGGAAACUCGUUUCAUGGGGCAAACAAUAAAACUGUAUAAUCAUGUAAAUAUUCACUCUGAUGCGCAGUAUGCCAAAAACAGCAGACACUGAUCCAUCGAUAGUCAUAUUCUAAAUAUUAACAGAAAAUCGUUUGUCUUGUUUUCUUGUGCUGGACAUUCAUUGUAUAACAUCAUUUCUGAAGGCAUUUAUAUAAAAGCUUUAAAAGUAAUAAAACACAUGUUCUGCCACAGCUUUGGUAACACUCGUCGGAGAAGUUCCACAAGACUCUGGAAAUAACACUGAGGCUGCGAAAAGUGAAGGAGUAUCCUAUGCUGGACUGUAUAUCACCUCUUUGGAACUCUUCAAGUUUACCAUUGGCAUGGGAGAUCUGGAGUUCAAUGAGAACCUUAAAUUUAAGCACUUCUUCAUGUUCCUGCUCAUCCUGUAUGUAGUGCUUACCUACAUUCUUCUCCUGAACAUGCUCAUUGCCUUAAUGAGCGAAACUGUCAGUAAGAUAUCUAGCGAGAGCAAAAGCAUAUGGAAGCUCCAGGUGGGUGGCCUAAAAUAGUCCAGAAAACAUGAGUAUUAUACAAAAGAUCAGUUUUACCACAGGCAGAUUUUAUAUAAAUAACUGCAUAAUAAAUACUGUCAUUUUCUUUACAUAUAAUGUCGCAGGUGUGCAUGUUAGAUAAGCAGCUAGUCUGUAGCGCUCAUAGAACAAACCACAGACUGCAGUUACAAAUAGACAGGAAACAGAGCUGAGAAGUGAGAUUAUUGCAUACAAAAGCCACAGUGAACAAGAGUUAUGACUCUUAAACGGAAUAAAGCUUUGUACUAGCGUGUGAAUCAGUCGUCUGAACAGCACAAGUUUUAAAACUUUUAUAAAAUCUAGUCAUUGGGGAAAUCCUUACUGCCUGUUACUUACUUUUAUAAUGCAAAUUCCUUGUAAAUGAAAGGAAUUCUAAGAGUGUUAUCUACUCAGAUCAAAGUGAUCAAAGUGAAUUUCAAAUGAAAAAACAAUAUUCAGCAUACCUAGGAGUACCAUGACCUACUCAUUACACCUAAAAUGUGCGGAUGUGUGGAGUAUCUCUUUAAGAUAAUGUCACAUUCAUGUAUUUUAUUUAAUUGUAGAGGCAAAUGUAGAUGUGGUUUGUGCAAAGAAAUUAUAUGGGAAGUGCAUUGUUCUGUCUGACAAAAUUAACAUUUUCCUGCCAUUUGCAUGGUAUUGUUUCUUUUUUGAAAUACAGAGAAAGAUAAUUACAUGAUUUUGCUAUUUCAUGACGAAAAGUCAUGAUUUUAUGAAAGACACGGAGGCGAGUAUUGCUUAACCCUUUCUCUACUCUCCACCAAUAGCAGCAAAGAAUACAACAGAAAGAAAAAAAUGGUAACCAUAGUGAUAGGCCACACCCAUACCUAGUCCAAGUAUAAUAGUCAGCACAUCCCCACACAUUUCCUCUUUCUUUGGAGAUGCAACACAAUAACCACAAAACAGGAACGAUGAAACAGUCCAAACCAAAUAGAACAGGCAAUCCGAAAUCCAGCCGGACUACCAGGAACCAUAAUGAAACUGGGACCCAACAGUGAGGGGCCCAUCACAGCACUGUCCAUAAACUUCCUGGCCACUUGGUGAAGCCGAGAGAGAAGUGAUGAAGACCCUUGAUAAACAUCGAAUCAACCUGUGAAAACACAAAAGUCAGGAGCCGAACGGUUAAAUCGGUACUUGAACCAAAGUGUGCAUGCCAAGACAUAACUUUAUAACUAGACAGAAGCAACACAGUGUGCAUAAUUCAACAAAGGCAUAUCGGAUAAUCAUGUAACAUGAACAGAUUAAGAAACGUCUGAAACUAUACAAAACCCAGAGAGCAGAAUAAAUACCUACCAACUCGGGAAAACGUGCAGGAGAGAAUAAACAACCGGGUGGGGUAAAUCAUUGAAAUAACAUAGAAGGGUGGGACAAUACUCACCUCCGUGUCUUUCAAAAAAUCAUGACUUUUCGUCAUGAAAUAGAAAAAUCAUGUAAUUUUAUGCCAAGACACGGAGGCUCAUAUUGCAAGUUUAAAGCUGAUCAAUAACCGGAGAAAAAUCGUCAGGCAGAGGUUGAAAGUGGAUUCGCGGCCAGCCUCAUCAGGUCUUCCAGACGUGCACCUGAAUUCACAAUGGACGUGGCCGAUGCCCCUCGGGCUGAGUGGGCACCAAAGACGGACGUAUCCACGUCGGCCAGAGACAUCACCCAUUUCACCCCAAGCCAAUGUAGUACUGGACACAGGGGAAAAAAGCAAGCGAAAGAGCUGGGGAGACGACGUUGCAUGAUGUGUGCUCGUCCGAAGUUCAUAUUCCCGUAAGCAGGCCACCGGACAUAGGGCCGGAGUACUAGAGAAGCUCGGAUAAGAAACCGAUCGAAUAGCGGUCUUGGUGCGUCUGGAGAUGUUAAACGUCACCCCGGCCGGAGUGAAAGACCUAGCAUCAUAGUCCAGGGCAUGAACAUCCGAUACCCAUUUGCAUGAAAUGAGACAGAACAGGGAGACCAACUUGGCUGACAGCUGUCGCAGGGAGAGCUCCGCAUUAGACGGCCAGGAGGAGAACAGCGACAAAAUGCAGGAAACAUCCCAUGUAGUAGAGUAACGAGGUCUAGGGGGGUGUGACAGGCGUGAGCCCCUAAGUAAGCGGCACACUAACGGAUGUUGGUCUGCUGGGCAGCCGUCAAAUCCUUGGUGAGCCGAGGAGAUGGCCGAUCUGUACGAAUUAAUCGUGCAAUAUGCCUGACCCACUUCAAAUAACGAAGUCAGGAAUAGGAGGAUCACAGUCACAGGUGCUAUAACGGGUCCAAGUUCCGAGCCAGGCACCAGCUAGUCCAAGAUCUCCAAGCGGUCCCAUAUGCUCGUCUAGUCCCGGGAGCCCAUGCCUCAGCCAGGAGGCGUCACGUUGCGUCCGAAACCCCUUGGAUUUCCCAGGGACACCCAAAAUCCUCCAUGCGAGCAGCAGUAACGACCCGUCCGCUAGGAGAGGAUGCUGGAGACCCGAUGGGUCCAGGAGGAGGUUCGGUAGAGACGGCAGCAGUCUGGGCACGUCUAUUGCCAGUUCCAGGAGUUGUGGGAACCAGGAUUGGGUCCCCCAGAAUCGGGUUAGUAGGAUCAGGUCGGCCAUUUGGCGCCGAAUUUAGAGCAGGACCCGAGGGAUCGAGGCGAACGGGGGAAGGCGUAGAGGAGUGAGCCAGUCCAGUCUUGUAGGAAGGCUUCCACUGCCUCCGCGGUUGGAUCCGGGCGCCAGCUGUAGAACCGGGGCAAUUGGGUAUUGAGCCUGGACGCAAAGAGGUCGAUAGCAAAAGGACCCAAUGUAAACCAUAUAGUGGAGAAUACUCCCACAUCCAAUUUCCAAUCGCUGUUGUCUGACAGAGAGCGUGAACUCCAGUCCGCGUGAGUGUUGUGGAGCCCAGGAAGGUAUUCUGCCUGGACCACCAGGUUUCUGUCCAAGCAAUAGGUCCAGAAGUCCUUCGCCAAGCGGGCCAGGAUUGCAGAUUGAGUGCCACCCAUAUGGUUGACAUAGCGGACCGCUGAGAUGUUGUCCAUGCGCAGGCGGAUGCAUGAGCUGGCAGUCCCGUUCACAAAACUCCGGAUCGCGAAUGAACCCUCCAGGAGUUCCAGAGCAUUGAUGUGGAGGUGGGAUUUGUCUGUCGACCAGCGACCCUCAGUAUUCACCCCAUUGCAAUGGGCACCCCAGCCGUGGAGACUGGCAUCUGAGUCCACCGUGAACUCUGGUUGGGAGCCGAAGAUGGCCUUGCCAUUCCAAGCCAAGAGGUUGGGGAUCUGCCAGGUCAAUUUGUCCCAAGUCUCCGAGUCCAGGGAGAUCAUAUCCGCAUAGGACGCCCCACAGCGGAGGUGUGCGAUCUUCAGGUGCUGGAGGGCACGGUAGUGGACUGGGGCUGGGAACACCACUUGGAUUGAUGCUGCCAGAAGGCCAAUGAUCCGUGCCAGGUGGCGUAGAGAUAGCUGGGUGCGCGUUAGAGCGCGGCGCAGUUCCUUGCGGAUUGUCCGUAUCUUGGACGUAGGGAGGCUCAGUGACUCCGCUUCGGAAUCUCCCAUGAAGUCUAGGAACUCCAUGCAUUGCGAAGGAGAUAGGCAGGAUUUUUCCCAGUUGAGGAGAAAACCCAGGUGGGAGAGGAGGUCCAUUGUCCAUUGAAAAUGUUUCCGAAGGACUGAACGAUCCUGUGCCAUGAUGAGGAUGUCGUCCAAGUAGACGAUUAGCCGGACUCCCUGACUGCGCAGCCAAGCCAUGGUGGGGCGCAUCAGUUUCGUGAAGCACCAAGGGGCUGACGACAGUCCAAAGGGGAGGCACGUGAAGUGCCAGGUGUCUCCUUUCCAAAGGAAACGUAACAGGUCCCUGGAUAACUCGGCCACUGGGACCGUCAGGUAGGCAUCCUUCAAAUCCAAGUUUGCCAUCCAGUCUCCCCGAAGGAGUAAGUCUCUCCAUGCCCUCCAUUUUGAAGUUUACGAUACAGCACCAGGGUGUUUAGGGCACGGAGGUUGAUAACUGGGCGAUAACUAGGGGAUAACUAGCAAAAUAUUGCUGAUCACCCCUGUGGAGGACACCGGAGCUAGUUCUAUCACCCCUUUUGCGUGGAGGGCCGUUAGUUACGCGUCUAUCAAGGCGUGGUCGGUUGUUGAAAGCAAAAUAGGGUGAGGUGGGGGAACGUGACACGGAGUGUCGACCAGUUCGAUGUGAAACCCCUGAACUGUGGUCAGAACCCAGACAUCUGAGGUGAUGGCUGACCAGGUGUGGAAAAAAUGACGGAGUCUGCCCCUUACACACAUAUUGGAAGAAACAUGAGGUAGAUUUAAGCUUACCGUAAGGGCGUCUGGAACGGGGGUUCCCUCUAAAGCCUCUGGAACGCCAUGGUCUUCCACUAGAGGGGAAGAAGGGAGCAUGUUGUCUCAUCUCCUGGUAGGGUGCUCUCUGAGUGUAGGAGCCUCGUCCCGAUCCACGGGCAUGGUAAUUGGAAUGGCCGGACAGACGACCCCUGAAUCUGCCGGCCCUGGUAGAGACCCGCCACUGAAACACCCUCUUCAUGGAUGAUUGGGCCUUAUCUAGGGCUGCAAAUGCACCCACAAAGCGUCCCAGGUGCUUAAUAAAGGAGUCCCCAAAUAAAAGGCGUCCUUGCCUGCCUCUGUGAGGGCGAGGUUGGCCAGUUUACGCCUUUCAAUGGACAGGGAAGUGUUUACGCUGCCUGCAAUGCAGAUAGCCCUCUGCACCCAGCCACGGAGUUCCUCCGGGUCAACUUGCCGGUUCUCGGCUCUGGCGAUUUCAGCCAGGUCAAACAGUUUGGCCAAAGGGCCAAAUAUGUUGAGAUGUUUAUCUUGCCACGAUUUAAGUGCCGAAUCUAGACCCUUGUGGGGAUUCCAACCCAUUUUGGAGAGGAAUUGGGUCAUCUUUGGGUCCACUACAGGGGUCUCACAGACUUUGUCAGGUACCAAUGGUCUUGGGCAUUCAACCCUAAGUUUAUUACAUGCUGCCUUACUGAGGGGGUGUUGUACCCAGUUUUCAAGGUACUGUGCCACAUGGUCCGCCGGGAGCCAUUCCGCCGACCUCGGAUGAUGGAGAGCAUCCGGGUCAAACAUGGGUUCCCCAGACGGAUCCAUGAGGGUGGAGCCCACAGUAGCGGGGGAGUCGCUCCUAGGGCCACUCGCAACCACCACAGAGUUAGCAGGGCCAAAAGGGUCGGGUUUCUGCCCACAAAAUUCAUCAUCAGAGUCAUCCACAGACUCAGCGUCAGCCUCCUCACUAGACGCGAUUUCUGAGUCGGAGUCACUCUCUUUUUGUGCUCUAGCACAUUUCCACUGCCGUGCCCGUUAGGCCUGGCAUGGAAAGGCUCUCUUGCGUUACAUAGGCACGCUGUCAUGGGUGGCUAUAGUCACACCAGUCGUGUUGGUUCUGGAGGCAGGGAGAUUUGAGUGCCUGGAUUUGGCAGUAGCCUUUUUUGGUGCCUCCCCUAAAGGGUCAGUAGCCGGGUGCGCUAAGCGUGUCGGCGUGGCUGAACCUUCUGCGGCCAAAGGGCAUGCCAGUAAGGCCUGUGAGAUGGUCUGGGAGAGGACAGAGAACAUGGAGCCCAUAGCAGCCAUAAUGGCGUAAGAGACUGAGCGCUGUAGCGCCAGGGACUGGGUCUCAUGAGACAGGGGCAUAGGGUCCCCAACAGAAGAAGGGGAUGCAGAAUUGGAAGAUGGGUUAUCCAAAACCUGGGGCAUGUCCAUCUCCCUAGGGGAUGAGGGGCUGGCAGGCACUUUAGAUCUGGGCAUGGUAGUGCUGUGAGAUAUUCCCCAACAAAAGAAUAUCAACUAUAUAAACAGAAUAAUUGUAUGAGAUAAAGCUAAAAUCAGAGUAGAGGAGACUAGCAGGAGUUAAUCACCCCAAACUAGUAUAACCUAGGAGGGUAUAGUUAGGGAGAAACAGGAAGUCAGGAAAUGGCCGCUGGCAAUCUUGCGAGACUCACGGUCAAAAAUACAGUCAAUUUGUCAAGUUAAAGAGCCGAACGUUCGGCAAAAAGAGACAAAUUCAAUGGGAUAAACAGAUGAAAGUAAUGAAUAGGAAAUAGGCGAAUGCACUGACUGUUCGAAUAAAAAAAUAGCCGAACGCGGCUAAACAAACGAAGGAAGCUAAGUGAUAGAAAAAACGAACGGCAUGUGUUUGUGAAGAAUUUGCCACGAAGACAGCCGAACAGAACGGAAAACAGGCGCAAAAGGGUGCCAAAUAAACAGAGAGAGGAAAAUGGAGCCAAAGGGUAGUGAGGAAGAUAUAAGGAGAUAAGUCAGUAAUCAGAAAAAGCAAGUGAGCAUGGAUAACACACAGAAUAAAAACCAUAAGGAAGGUCUGGAACCCUGGGCUCAAAGGUAACCAACAUAAUAUAUAGUAUUAAACAAGCAUGUAAUAACACACAGAAAAAACAACUGGAUAAAUUAAAGUAAAAGGGAAUUAUCAACAAAAGGAGCAAUAGAAACUCAAAUAACAAUAAAUAAAUGUUAUAAAUAACCAGAAAUCAAUAAGAGAAUAGUAGGAUGUAUGAGAGAAAAUGUCAUGUACUUAUCUUUGGUCGGAGCAGCAAAGAAAGCGGCAAUGUGUGGGGAUGUGCUGACUAUUAUACUGGGACUUGGUAUGGGUGUGACCUAUCAUUAUGGUUACCAUUUUUAUCUUACUGUUUUAUUCUUUGCUGCUAUUGGUGGACAGUAAAGAAGGGGUUAAGCAAUACGAACCUCAGUGUCUUGACAUACAAUUUUGGAUUCUGUAGAAAUGAUGCUGUGUUUUGUAACCAUCUUGUGGUUGUCUAGCAUUUGGCGCUGCUUUUAACAUGAUGAAUGAACAUAUCAAAACCAAAGAAUUCCAAAUACAGCAUUUAAACACUAGCAAAGUAGAAAAUUAAAACAAUGCAAAAUACAUUGAGCGAGUUAAUCAGUUUGUAAUACUGAAUUACAUGGCAAAUAUUUAAGAAGGGAAUGUGUUAAAGAUACAUAGAAUUUUCAGUUGAUUCCUACCAUUAACUGGCUAUGGUAGAAAUAUAAUGUAUGUAUGGUGUAAUUUUUUCUUAUUCAUUUUAUUUUACGUAAAAUGUGAACAGCGAGUAUCUCACUUUUAGAAAUUGGCCUUUCAUGUAGUACAGGAAUGGCCAAAAGGUGGCUCCCUAGCUAUUGGAGAACUACAGCUCACCUUAAGACCAUUUGGGUAGUUGAGGUUCUAUACAUGUUGGGAUUUGGUCAUCCCUGGUAUACAAUACAAAUGCAGUAGGAAGUUUGCUUAUAUUAUGUUACUCUUAUUUUGCAGAGAGCUGCAACCAUCUUAGACAUUGAGAGGUUCUUACCUCGGUUCCUUAGGAAGAAAUGGAAGUCUGGACACUGGCUUACUGUGGGCAAAACCCCAGAAGGAAAGCUUGAUGAGAGAUGGUGCUUUAGGUAAGAGAAAUAUAUUAACACAAGAAUUAUACACCCAGAUGCCACUAUAUUAGAGAGCAGAGAUGUACUGGAUACCGCACUCACCAAAUAACCCAACUGCUCUGAAGCCAGGGCGUGCCAGGCCUCCCUUCCUAGACAUGCAGAAUAAAUAAUGGUUCAGGCACUCUGGGAUAACAGAGAUAGCAGCUUUAUUAGGGCAAAAGCAGCAACAUUUUGACACUACCAGGUCUUUAUCAAGCAUGAUAAAGACCAGGUAGGGUUGAAACAUUGCUGCUUUUGCCCCAGUAAAGCAGCUAUUUCUGUUACCCCAGAGUGCCUGAACCAUUAUUUAUUCUACUAUAUUAGAGAAAACUUUAAACCCGCAAAAAUAUGACCUUACAUUUUUUUUUUUAUAAUUUAUUACAUGUUUUAUUAGUUCUAACUCCAUAUAGGAUAACUUUGGGUUCUGAGAAAGUCCAUGUUGGUGUAUGUGAAAUUAGACAUUAAUUGAUUAUAUUAAAAAUCUAAAUAUGUGUUUUUGGUCUCGUCUUUCUGUGCUGAAAUUGUCUUACUUUUAUCUACCUUAUUCAUAUUUGUAAUUUAUCCAUAUAGCACUAAUAGGUGUACUUAGUGCUUUAAUAUUACCACUAUAAUAGGAGUGAAGUAAGUCAAAUAGUUAUGCAAACUUUUAAAUAUACUAAUAAAAUAUUUAGUUAUAUUUUCUUAGCAUUUAACAUAAUGUUGACUAGUUUUCAUGAAGCAUAUGACCUUCUUCUAUGCAGUGAUAAAGAUUAUUAAUUUUUGAAACUGUAUCCCUAUUAGUACUAUUUAUGUUGUACAGGGUACUUUUUUUUUAAACAACUAUUUAUAAAGUUGUUUUUAUUGCUAUGGAGCUCUGUUAUAAACUCAGUCACACCAACAGUAUGGAGCUCUUAGAAAAGAGGGUCUUUAGGAUAGAAAAUAUGGACAGAGGGAAUUUGGCCCAACAAAGGGACUGUCCCUCCUAAAAAUGUACACGUGGGACACUUGGUAGGUUUGUGAAGGUGCCACUUUUUAUUGAAAUCUGCACUUUAUGUAAAAUGAAAAAAAGAGGACACACCACACAGAAAUUACUUCGGUGAGCUGAAGGGCUUUAGGCAUCUGGAGUGUCCCUUUGACUAAAAAAGCAACUUGAGGCAAAUUUAAAACUGACUUGAAAAAACUUGACUAAAAAAGCCAAGCUUGUAAAAUGAGCUGUUAUGGUGAACUUCUUCAUUUCCAGCUACCAUAUGGCCUACUUUUUUGCAAUUCAGUUUUCAAUUCACCACAAGUCAGUGAACACAUCCUUCAAUAUUUUCGCACGUGAUAGAAUUAGCUGUUUGCGAAGUAACAUUCUGUGUUUUGUAGCACUCUUUAUUUUAUUUGACUCCAUGUGAGUCAAAUAGCCUUUUGUAUCAAGUAAACAUGAAUUUUAAACAUGCUAAAUGGAUGUCUCGUUUUGUUCCCCUUUAGAGUAGAAGAAAUGCUUUGGGGUGCGUGGGAAAAGAACCCAUCCAAUCUUAAUGAGGAGCCUGGUGACACGGAAAAAGCAAAAAUGGCCUCAGUUUACAAACGUCCUAAAGGUACAUUCAGCCUAAAAUGAAUGGUCUUAAAAAAAAUGUUGAUUUCCACCGAAUGGGUAUAAGCUAGCCACUAUCGAGGUAGCAUCUGACACUACAGAGAAAGUAAAAAGAUGCUGUUGUGCAGGAGAGUGCGCGAUAUAUUACAUUUCUAUAAUUUAGCAAAGAUUGGACAAGAUACUUUUUAAAGAUGUAAAGAGGAGGGUCAAUAACUUAUAUGAAGUCUGAAAAUAGUCUUCUGUACUAUGGUAAAAAAAAAUAAUUAAAGGCUUUAAAGGAAGUUCGAAUGCAUGACAAAAAGUGAGGGGGUCUGGAAAAUUCAAGAAAAUGUUUUAUAUGGUAAUUUAUUUCAAAAAGACUGGCUAUGAUUGAUUAAAAAUUUGUCUGUUGAUGAGAAUGUGUCUUUAGAAAUGAAAUAAAAAAAAAAAAACUCCUACAGUGGAACCAGCCUGGAUGUAUUAAGCAUCAAACUUAAAUCCAACUAAAGAGUAGAGAGAAGAGAAAACUGUUUGUAAAUAGCUGUGUCAAUGGAGUAGGGUGUAGAGAGAAGGACUCCCGAGAUCUACUUUUCAAAGAUAUGCAGAGUGUUAGCAACAAGGUCAUAGUGAGUGUAGGUUUAUAGAUUAUCUGAUGGGAAGCCAGAAAAAUGGAGACUAGGAAGUGACGUAACUAUCAUCCAAGUAGAGGAAUGGUUUGACUUAUCUGGUCUGUGAAAUAUAAUAUAUAUGUAUAUGUUGUCAUGGCAAUACAUAUAAAUAAAUAUGGCUGCAUUUUCCCUGGAUUGUGGAUUUAAAACUUCUUUAUCAGAUCAGUCUGCAAAGCUGUAUUUUUUUCGCAGCAGUGGUGAAAGUGGUCUAUAUGUGCUCAAUCUUUGUUGGAAUGCAGAAUCAGUUUCACCUUUGUAAAGAAAAAUAUUAAUCAGGAAACUUGGAAUGUGUCCACAAGUCUCCACUGUUGCUCCCCUUUUCACUGCACUGUUCCUUUUUCUUUACAGGGUGGAGUCAUUUGGUUACCAAAGUGCAAGAAAAAGUAAGAGAAGAGGAACAAAUACCCUUAAAUUCGGGGUCCACCAGCCCUGCGACUGAUGUCGAGAAGGGAUAUGAACAGUCGUCAUGAGCUCACAGUUUAGUUUUGAAUUGUCUCAAUUGCCAAAACACUGCAAUUUCAGCUUUCCAAAAUCAAUUGAUGGUUUCUUAUUCUGACCCAACCAUAGCUAUGUUUACAUGUAAUGAGGAAAUAUUACCUUAUUGUAAUGCGAGGUAUAUGUUAACUAGUUCAUUUUUCCAGGUUUAUAUGAUUACACUACAACGGUGAUGCAAAAUAAAUUAAAAUGCACUAAAGAAUUAUAACAUACAAAUCUUAUAAAAUUCAUUGAUGUGCUCUAAGUAAAAUAAAACCCCAAAAACCCCUCACUGAUGGUUGUGAGAAUUGACAAAUUGAAUUCUCCUGAGAAAAAAAACCAUAAACACAGACAUUCAGGCAUCCAAAUUUGCAUAUUUUUUUAUGUUUCUUCAAACAUUGGUAGUUUUUUUUUUUAAUCUAAAAGGUUGCCAAAGUGUUAUAGUUGAAUAAAAACAAUAGAAAUAAAGCUUUAUUUUGUAAGUCUGUCUCAGCCCAAGAUAAAAUAAUUACACAUAAUCUCUUAUUUUGUUUAAAAAUCAAGUCAUUAGGAAAAUUAGUUUGCUUUGCAUGAACAUUUUAGGGCACUGGAGGCUAAAAUGCUGGUGUAGCUUUAAACUAUGAACUUUGCUUAGACAGUCUAUAUACUUGCAGAGUCUCUGAGAAAAUAUUUGCAGUUGCAAGAUAAGCCAUCACACAUCUAUGGUGAGCUGGUGUGAAUUAAUAUUGGUGACUGUAAAACGCGUAUUUACGUUGUUUUCGUUUUUGUAAUUAGUAUGUCUUCUUAAAGAAAUGCUGUCAUCAUUUUUUUUUUUUUUAAAUAUCUUAAUGUAAGCUUUAUUUUAUAAUAUGCUAUCUCUUAUUAUUUCUUUUUAAUUCAUGCUUACUGAAAUUUGUGAAGAAAUUAUUUGCUUACCUUGCCCAUUCCCCCUUUCUGGAAGCCAUCAUUAUUCACCUUUGGUCACAAUGUCACUUAUCUUACCUAAUGCUUAUUAUUUUGCAAUUGUCCAUUGCUUCCCAGCUGACAAAAAAAGGCUAUUGGAAAUGAUGAAAAGUGGCAAGGGAUUUCUUGAAACAUUUCAAUAUAAAUGAAUAAUAAAAAAUAAAAAAAAACAAGAACUUAAGUAUAUUAUAAUGUAAGAAUGAUAUUAAGAUGUUAAAAAUGUGUUCCUUUAAUGCAAGCUCUCUCAGCAUCAACUCAAAUAUAUACACCUGCCCUGCUGGUUACUGUUUUACUAACCACAUUGCUGUGAGUGUGACUUUCAGUAGCUUUAGGAUGGCACUGUCAAACAAAAUAUAUGCCUAAUAAAAGGCAUUCUAAACAGUCAUAAUCACAGGUGGUAAGAUCCACUGGGACACAUUCUGCUAAAUAUGAUUAUGCAUGUUUUACCAGGAAACUGAAGGUAUUAGAUUUUAGAAUGUAUAUGUAAAUAGAUUAUAUUGCACUCUUUAUUUUUCAAGAAUGUAUACUGACAGAUCAGGACUAUUUUUUCAGAUUACUAGUGGGUCCGCAUGUGGAUGAAAUUUAUUGUCUGAGACUGCCAGCUGACUUUCUCAGCCAAUGAACUCCAUCAGACAUAGACAGAAUUGAUGUAACUUAUAUAGAAGGGAGGACUGGAGUAGAGGUGCCUUUAGGACCCAGGUAAAGAAUGGUUUAACUUUUACCUGGGGGAGGACACCAAGGUGUUUUUCGUUUUUUUUUAAACUGCUGCAGUGUGCUGUAGUCUUUAUGAUCCCUAGAUUUCUGUUGAAAUCUGCACUUUUUGUAAAAGGAAAAAAAAGAGUUUACACUCUUAAAACAUAAGCUGAGGCGAUUCUGAUCUUUGAGGUUUAUAAUGGAUUGUAUGUGAAGAGUAACAACUGUGAUGGUAAAAUCAUUCUUUAGGAAGUGGACACGGAUACAGUCCCACCGUAGUGUCGCCAAUUGGGCGUAUGCAUGAUCUGACAAAUGAGUGAUCAAGGAGUGCGGUUGAGUGCAAUUAGCAACUAGUUAAAGGGACACAAUAGGAUCCAGAUUACUUUAUCUCACUGAAGUGGUUUUGGUGCAGUGUCCCCGUUCCCUUAACCCUGCCAUGUAAAGCAUUGCAGUUUUAGACAAACUUUUUACAUUGCAGUGUUAAGAAGGCCUUGAGUGGCUGUCUACCAAUUGUCUUUUGCCAAUAACGACCUCAUCUCAAGAUAAACAAAUGAAUGCAAUCACAACUACAUUUUUUGUAAUCAUUCUACAUAUUAUAUAUGCCAUGAUAUAUUGCUAAUAUAGAUGUAUACAAUGCAAAUCACAAAUGACUAUAGUCUAAAUUUCAUAAUCAUAAACACCUGACUAAGUCCAACGCUAAGUAAAUGUUGCUUGGGGUUUUACAUGUAUUGUUAUCAUUAAGCAGCCCAUGGGAAUAGAGUUGGUCCCAUGGGUUAAGAAUUCCUUCUUAUACACUAUUGAUAUUUUUCAUCAUCUAGCUAUAUCAACUGCUAAGUAGGGCUGUGAUGCAAACUGUAAUGUUUUGCCUCUGCUUUAUUCCUGCUGUGCAUGAUAUAUUCCACAUAUUUCAUUUAUUUAAGCUAUGUAUUUUCUAAAUGUUGUAGAGAUAAUUGGAUUUGCAUACUGUACAAUGCCUUAACCCAUACUUAGUAAAUGUAGACAGUAACCUAUGCAUCUGCCAUCUGCUGGGGAAGGAAUUAGAUAUUGCUUUUCAUAUGUGUCUUUUUACGAGAUUUUUUUUAUUUCUAGAUAUAUUAUAUCUAUGUUUAUUCAUCUUUAUCAUAAUAAAAGUUAUUUGCGUAAAAUG
RNAcentral lists this long non-coding RNA (42443 nucleotides) under Pelobates cultripes (western spadefoot toad). Lineage: Eukaryota; Metazoa; Chordata; Amphibia; Anura; Pelobatidae. The record is from RNAcentral.